UACGUAGGGUGCAAGCGUUGUCCGGAAUUAUUGGGCGUAAAGAGCUCGUAGGCGGUUUGUCGCGCCUGCUGUGAAAACUCGGGGCUUAACCCCGGGCCUGCAGUGGGUACGGGCAGACUAGAGUGCGGUAGGGGAGACUGGAAUUCCUGGUGUAGCAGUGAAAUGCGUAGAUAUCAGGAGGAACACCGAUGGCGAAGGCAGGUCUCUGGGCUGACACUGACGCUCAUGCACGAAAGCGUGGGGAGCAAACAGG
RNAcentral lists this ribosomal RNA (253 nucleotides) under uncultured bacterium. RNAcentral's name for it is "partial 16S ribosomal RNA". It matches the Rfam family "Bacterial small subunit ribosomal RNA", at positions 524 to 776 of the family's 1533-position model. The record is from RNAcentral.